RNAcentral lists this ribosomal RNA (1484 nucleotides) under human gut metagenome. RNAcentral's name for it is "bacterial LSU rRNA". It matches the Rfam family "Bacterial large subunit ribosomal RNA", at positions 502 to 1980 of the family's 2925-position model. The record is from RNAcentral.
CGUGAGGGAAAGGUGAAAAGAACCCCGGGAGGGGAGUGAAAGAGAACCUGAAACCGUAUGUCUACAAGCAGUCGGAGCGAAAGCGACGGCGUGCCUAUUGAAGAAUGAACCAACGAGUUACGUGCACUAGCGAGGUUAAGUGGAAGACACGGAGCCGAAGCGAAAGCGAGUCUUAAGAGGGCGGAUAGUUAGUGUACGUAGACCCGAAACCGCAGUGAUCUACCCAUGUCCAGGUUGAAGCGCAGGUAAAAUUGCGUGGAGGACCGAACCUGUGAGCGUUGAAAAGCUUUAGGAUGAGAUGUGGGUAGAGGUGAAAUUCCAAUCGAACGCGGAGAUAGCUGGUUCUCCCCGAAAUAGCUUUAGGGCUAGCCUCAAGUAGUAAGUAUAGGCGGUAGAGCACUGAUCGGGCUAGGGGCCAUAAAGGUUACCGAACCCUGUCAAACUCCGAAUGGUUAUACUGUAGAGCUUGGGAGUCAGACUACGAGUGAUAAGAUCCGUGGUCAAAAGGGAAACAGCCCAGACCACCAGCUAAGGUCCCCAAUGUCGUACUAAGUGGAAAAGGAUGUGGGGUCUCUAAAACAACCAGGAUGUUGGCUUAGAAGCAGCCACCAUUUAAAGAGUGCGUAAUAGCUCACUGGUCGAGAGACCCUGCGCCGAAGAUUACCGGGGCUAAAGUACGAAACCGAAGCUGUGGCUACGACAUAUGUCGUGGGGUAGGGGAGCGUUCUGUGAGGGCUGAAGUCGUUCUGUAAGGAACGGUGGACUUCACAGAAGUGAGAAUGUUGGUAUGAGUAGCGAAAAGAAUGGUGAGAAUCCAUUCCACCGAAAGCAUAAGGAUUCCUGGGCAACGAUCGUCGUCCCAGGGUAAGUCGGGACCUAAUCCGAGGCAUGGAGCGUAGGAGAUGGACAACUGGCAGAUAUUCCAGUACCGGUAAUGAUUGUUUGAGCGAUGGAGUGACACAGGAGGGCAGGCAGGCAGGAGAUUGGUUGUUCCUGUACAAGCGUGUAGGAUGGGACGCAGGCAAAUCCGCGUCCUGUGAGUCUGAGGCGUGAUGUGGAGGUUCCGGAAACGGAACCGAAGCUGCUGACCCCACACUGUCGAGAAAAGCUUCUAGUUAGAGAAUUACCGCCCGUACCGUAAACCGACACAGGUAUGCGGGGAGAGAAUCCUAAGGUGCGCGGGAGAACCCUCGUUAAGGAACUCGGCAAAAUGUACCCGUAACUUCGGGAUAAGGGUAGCCGCUGUUGUGAAGUCUGAACAGACGGAGCAUGAGGCGGUCGCAGAGAAGAGGCCCAAGCGACUGUUUACCACAAACACAGGUGCCUGCUAAAGAGAAAUCUGACGUAUAGGUGCUGACACCUGCCCAGUGCCGGAAGGUUAAGGAAGGAUGUCCGGAGCAAUCCAAAGCAUUCGACCGAAGCCCCGGUGAACGGCGGCCGUAACUAUAACGGUCCUAAGGUAGCGAAAUUCCUUGUCGGGUAAG